CUAUGCCUGGGCGGAUGCCACUCACACGAUUCCAAUGAGUUCUCUCACUCAGUUCUUGUCUUAAAUGGGCGGCUAUGGGCUGCUUUGCUCUCUGUCCAGAAAUCAUGAACAGUAAGGGGCAGGUGCCUUUGCACUGAUGGCCCUGAGUCUGAGAGAUUUACAAGCUGGCCUUUCAAUCCAGAGGCUUAUCGCUGAAAAUGAAAACUAGAAAAGCACGAAUAUGGUUCAGACAAGGAAAAAAAAAAAAAACUUCAAAGACAUCCAGCCAAUAAACCCCAAAGAAGGCUACAUAAACUGUUUAAGCCACCAUGAGGCGAGCAUGUUUGCUCUAACAUGACCUAAAAUCAACGGAGCCCAAUUCAGGAUGAACCAUGAAAGAAACUUCUGAAACUGAGCUACAUCCCAGCAGACUUUGGAAACUUGACCUUUUACCAUUGGUUUCCUUUUGCUUUAGAAAUGAUGAGUCAAGUCAGGGAGUGGUGACACACGCCUUUAAUCCCAG
This 502-nucleotide long non-coding RNA is filed under the name Cricetulus griseus (Chinese hamster). Its description in RNAcentral is "lncRNA (ENSCGRG00015033485.1)". The record is from RNAcentral. Lineage: Eukaryota; Metazoa; Chordata; Mammalia; Rodentia; Cricetidae.